Molecule: long non-coding RNA, 470 nt
Organism: Diachasmimorpha longicaudata
Lineage: Eukaryota; Metazoa; Arthropoda; Insecta; Hymenoptera; Braconidae
Exons: 3
Source: RefSeq, a predicted model, not a curated record
CUUCAAAUUGUGUGUAAAAUUUAUUCAUUUAAUUUCGUUUCGUUGUUUGUCGCAGACAUAUAAUUGAAACGAUUCGAGAUAUCUGGGGAUUUUUAAGGGAUUACAUCAUUAAACUGGACAGAAACGUCAUGAAUCCAUGAUAUGAAUGAGGCUUCAAACAUAUCGUAUGGUCCUUUGGAUUUCCUGAAUACAUUUCAUCACAUUUAAGUAGGAAAAAACGAAUGGGCCAACCUUGGUACAAGCACGGCCGCCGAGCUGCCGUAGCUCGGCACCCGGGCUCCAGCCAAACUCGCGCCGAACUUGGCUAGACCCUGGGAUGAUAACACGGGGCCAGGCCUGGGACCGAACUUUGGCCAGACUUCGGUCGCCGUACUUUGGCCGCACUCUGGGCUUACCAUUCGGCCCGAAAUUGGCCCAGGCCUGUUGCCGAACUUUGGCCGCACUCUGGGCUUACCAUUCGGCCCGAAAUU